AGUAGUAGUUUCAUACGAUAAUUAAUUUGAACAGACCUUCACUAAAACAGUAAUUAAUAUCUCUCUGUAACUCCAAAUUUAGUGGAGUUUGAUUCUGUGGAAAACUAACUCGAUUGCGGUCGUUUCGGUACCAGUUUAGUUAAUUAUUGAUCCAAAUUGAGUUCUGUGCGUAGCUUUGAACUUGAGGCUCAGAAGCAGAUUUUGUGCAAAAUUUUGGUGGGGGCAAAAUCCAACA
RNAcentral lists this long non-coding RNA (235 nucleotides) under Trifolium pratense (red clover). RNAcentral's name for it is "long non-coding RNA (TPRA_LNC014085)". The record is from RNAcentral. Lineage: Eukaryota; Viridiplantae; Streptophyta; Magnoliopsida; Fabales; Fabaceae.